GGGUAGGGCUAUAGCUCAGUGGUAGAGCAUCUGCCUUGCACGCAGAAGGUCCCAGGUUCGAUUCCUGGCACCCCCCA
Molecule: non-coding RNA, 77 nt
Organism: Podarcis raffonei (Aeolian wall lizard)
Lineage: Eukaryota; Metazoa; Chordata; Lepidosauria; Squamata; Lacertidae
Source: the annotation of a RefSeq genome assembly